Molecule: microRNA, 20 nt
Filed under: Bos taurus (domestic cattle)
Lineage: Eukaryota; Metazoa; Chordata; Mammalia; Artiodactyla; Bovidae
Description: bta-miR-2284c
Source: miRBase by way of RNAcentral
AAAAAGUUCGUUUUGGUUUU